UACGUAGGGUGCGAGCGUUGUCCGGAAUUAUUGGGCGUAAAGGGCUCGUAGGCGGUUUGUCGCGUCGGGAGUGAAAACACCGGGCUUAACUCGGUGCUUGCUUUCGAUACGGGCAGACUAGAGGUAUGCAGGGGAGAACGGAAUUCCUGGUGUAGCGGUGAAAUGCGCAGAUAUCAGGAGGAACACCGGUGGCGAAGGCGGUUCUCUGGGCAUGAUCUGACGCUGAGGAGCGAAAGUGUGGGGAGCGAACAGG
Molecule: ribosomal RNA, 253 nt
Filed under: uncultured bacterium
Lineage: Bacteria
Description: partial 16S ribosomal RNA
Rfam family: Bacterial small subunit ribosomal RNA
Source: RNAcentral